GUUCAGCAGGGAGGCACACACCUGGGGGUAAUUGUAAUCAGCUUCCUGUCUUGAGCCCUACGACCACACCAAGAAGGUGCUGCAUCAUGCCUGAGUCCCAAGUUGUUUGCUGUAUGGUUGGCAGAGGGUGAGGAUAUCCAAGGCAAGGUGGUGGGCUGUCGGCGACAAGGAGCGAGCAGGUGGUGUGGCUUGGCGGCGCGGCGGGAGCAGGCAGCGAGGCGGCGAAGGCACGGAAGGAACACUGGAGACGGGUGGGAACAAAAUCGGGCGCAGGCUUGCUGGACUUGACAGGCUUAAAUGCAGCCAGUAAUCGGUGCUGCUCGAAGACAGGUGCGCGGCACAGGUGAUGCUGCUUGCUGGGGAGAACGAGGGGGACAGGGGGAGACAAGGCGCCACCCAAGCUCCAAAAGAGGGCAUGGAUCAUGACAAUCUGGACGCCAUUAAAGAGUGGGCCGCCACUGUACUGCCUCAUUUUUCAGCCAAAAAGGUUAGACUUAUUUUGCAUUGCUUUUACUUUUACUUUACAAAUAACAAAACAAAUGAAUAUCAAGUAUUUUUUCAAGUAUGGGAAGGAGUGCCAUUAAAUUUCCUGAACUGUUCAUGCAAGCUUCUUUAGGAUCACCUGGUAUGUUGUGUUGUUUACCGUACAUGAAAAGAUACCCUAAAGAUAGAGCCUUGAGCUACAAUUUGCAUACCUAUUAUCAUCAUAUAUCAUAUUUUUCUAUUUUCUCACUUUUAUUGGUCAUGCAAAGUAUGUUGGAAUGAUAUAAAUGGAAGUCGUUUUUUUUUAAACAUUUUUACAAGGACAGAGAGCCGAAAUACAUGUUACCUUUUGUAAAUCAAUGAACGGCAUUCUUUGGCUUUUACAGUUUAGUAAUAACUUUUUAUUACUUUUGACCUCAUGGGACCUUGGAUCCUCACAUUCCAUUAUAUCUAAUCUCCAAAUCAAAAUCCUCUUUUUGUGAAAAUAAAGAGAUUACACUAACAGAAGAAUUUGAUGUUAUUAUUGCAGCCAUAUUAUUACUAUUGCUGGUGCAUUUGACAAAUUUCUUGAUUUUAUUUGACAUCAUAUCAUAUAAAAAAAAAUAAAAAUAAAAACAAAUGUCAUAUGCCAUAUCAUGUCAUACCAUGUCAUAUGAAUUGAUCCCAGACAACAAGGAGAAAAUUAAACAUGCUCCCCAAAGAGCUUAAAGAUCUCAAUAGGAUAACGUGAUAAAUGUUGUACAGUAUUCAUUUAGUUUUGUGUUUGUGUCUGAUUGUUACAGUUGCAUUUUAUUCAUGAAAGUUUUUAUUUUCCUCAUACACGUUAUCCAAUCUUGCCUAGAUAUUUCUUCUGAUCAGCUUCAAAGAUUCAGUGAUUAUUUUUCUGUAUCCGAGCAUUUAUUGGAUUUGAAUGGUGUAUGUACUGUCGAUGAUGUUUCAGGGUUCUGCCAGUUACAUUUCUCACCUGAUU
This is a long non-coding RNA of Phyllopteryx taeniolatus (common seadragon), 1453 nucleotides long. RefSeq lists it as uncharacterized. The record is from RefSeq and is a predicted model, not a curated record. NCBI's taxonomy places the organism in Eukaryota, Metazoa, Chordata, Actinopteri, Syngnathiformes, Syngnathidae. The transcript has 3 exons.